Molecule: ribosomal RNA, 450 nt
Filed under: uncultured bacterium
Lineage: Bacteria
Description: partial 16S ribosomal RNA
Rfam family: Bacterial small subunit ribosomal RNA
Source: RNAcentral
GUGGGGAAUUUUGGACAAUGGGCGCAAGCCUGAUCCAGCCAUUCCGCGUGCAGGAUGAAGGCCUUCGGGUUGUAAACUGCUUUUGUACGGAACGAAAAGCCUCUGGUUAAUACCCGGGGGUCAUGACGGUACCGUAAGAAUAAGCACCGGCUAACUACGUGCCAGCAGCCGCGGUAAUACGUAGGGUGCGAGCGUUAAUCGGAAUUACUGGGCGUAAAGCGUGCGCAGGCGGUGAUGUAAGACAGUUGUGAAAUCCCCGGGCUCAACCUGGGAACUGCAUCUGUGACUGCAUUGCUGGAGUGCGGCAGAGGGGGAUGGAAUUCCGCGUGUAGCAGUGAAAUGCGUAGAUAUGCGGAGGAACACCGAUGGCGAAGGCAAUCCCCUGGGCCUGCACUGACGCUCAUGCACGAAAGCGUGGGGAGCAAACAGGAUUAGAUACCCGAGUAGUCC